AAAAACCCCUGUAGCCAAAGUUAGAAAUAGAAGCAGAAGCUUCAUCGGGUUCAACAUUCCCUUCCGCCUUUCUUCAACUUCAGUUAUCAAUUCAAGAUUCACGCACGAAUUGAGCAGUUUGGAUCGAUAAAGAGUCGAGCUUUGGUUAGUUGGCAUCGAGAGAGACUGCAGGUGACGUUGCUGAGGAUUACGGUAACUAGAGAGCACGAGUUGAAAGUUCCUGGUGAGCCCCGCACUUGUCCGUGUGGGCGAAGAGUCUAUUAUUUAUGAUGGUCUUUUCUUUUGAACUCUUAGAGUUGCUCCACAGUCAUUUGAUUUAUUCCAUGAGUAUUCUUUAUUUAUUAUAGACUGGUGACUAGUAUUAGACGUUUUUCCCGUAUUUCAGAAAUAUUUUAGUAGCAUUACGUUGAAAACGGGUUAAUUGAGGAUGAUUGCAUUUAGUUUGGUUGA
Molecule: long non-coding RNA, 450 nt
Organism: Lycium ferocissimum
Lineage: Eukaryota; Viridiplantae; Streptophyta; Magnoliopsida; Solanales; Solanaceae
Exons: 3
Source: RefSeq, a predicted model, not a curated record